RNAcentral lists this ribosomal RNA (429 nucleotides) under Actinomycetes bacterium. RNAcentral describes it as "Actinobacteria bacterium partial 16S ribosomal RNA". It matches the Rfam family "Bacterial small subunit ribosomal RNA", at positions 355 to 776 of the family's 1533-position model. The record is from RNAcentral. Lineage: Bacteria; Bacillati; Actinomycetota; Actinomycetes.
UAGGGAAUCUUCCGCAAUGGGAGAAAGCUUGACGGAGCAACGCCGCGUGAGUGAUGAAGGUCUUCGGAUCGUAAAACUCUGUUAUUAGGGAAGAACAAAUGUGUAAGUAACUAUGCACGUCUUGACGGUACCUAAUCAGAAAGCCACGGCUAACUACGUGCCAGCAGCCGCGUUAAUACGUAGGUGGCAAGCGUUAUCCGGAAUUAUUGGGCGUAAAGCGCGCGUAGGCGGUUUUUUAAGUCUGAUGUGAAAGCCCACGGCUCAACCGUGGAGGGUCAUUGGAAACUGGAAAACUUGAGUGCAGAAGAGGAAAGUGGAAUUCCAUGUGUAGCGGUGAAAUGCGCAGAGAUAUGGAGGAACACCAGUGGCGAAGGCGACUUUCUGGUCUGUAACUGACGCUGAUGUGCGAAAGCGUGGGGAUCAAACAGG